GGGGAAUUUUCCGCAAUGGGGGCAACCCUGACGGAGCAAUACCGCGUGGGGGAGGAAGGCCCUUGGGUUGUAAACCCCUUUUCUCAGGGAAGAAUAACUGACGGUACCUGAGGAAUCAGCCUCGGCUAACUCCGUGCCAGCAGCCGCGGUAAGACGGAGGAGGCAAGCGUUAUCCGGAAUCAUUGGGCGUAAAGCGUCCGUAGGUGGUCCUUCAAGUCUGCUGUCANNGCCCAGGGCUCAACCCUGGAGAGGCAGUGGAAACUGAAGGACUUAGAGUGCGGUAGGGGUAGAGGGAAUUCCCGGUGUAGCGGUGAAAUGCGUAGAGAUCGGGAAGAACACCAGUGGCGUAAGCGCUCUACUGGACCGCAACUGACACUGAGGGACGAAAGCUAGGGGAGCGAAUGGGAUUAGAUACCCCAGUAGUC
RNAcentral lists this ribosomal RNA (425 nucleotides) under uncultured cyanobacterium. Its description in RNAcentral is "bacterial SSU rRNA". It matches the Rfam family "Bacterial small subunit ribosomal RNA", at positions 356 to 795 of the family's 1533-position model. Lineage: Bacteria; Bacillati; Cyanobacteriota. The record is from RNAcentral.